GACGAACGCUGGCGGCGUGCUUAACACAUGCAAGUCGAACGAUGAACCCGGAGCUUGCUCUGGGGGAUUAGUGGCGAACGGGUGAGUAACACGUGAGUAACCUACCCUGGACUCUGGGAUAAGCGUUGGAAACGACGUCUAAUACCGGAUAGGACCUUGGAUCGCAUGAUCUGGGGUGGAAAGUUUUUUCGGUCUGGGAUGGACUCGCGGCCUAUCAGCUUGUUGGUGAGGUAAUGGCUCACCAAGGCGUCGACGGGUAGCCGGCCUGAGAGGGUGACCGGCCACACUGGGACUGAGACACGGCCCAGACUCCUACGGGAGGCAGCAGUGGGGAAUAUUGCACAAUGGGCGAAAGCCUGAUGCAGCAACGCCGCGUGCGGGAUGACGGCCGUCGGGUUGUAAACCGCUUUUAGUAGGGAAGAAGGGCUUCGGCUUGACGGUACCUGCAGAAAAAGGACCGGCUAACUACGUG
This 472-nucleotide ribosomal RNA is filed under the name uncultured bacterium. RNAcentral's name for it is "partial 16S ribosomal RNA". It matches the Rfam family "Bacterial small subunit ribosomal RNA", at positions 28 to 507 of the family's 1533-position model. The record is from RNAcentral.